RNAcentral lists this long non-coding RNA (1192 nucleotides) under Salmo salar (Atlantic salmon). RNAcentral describes it as "lncRNA (ENSSSAG00000117035.1)". The stretch from base 1164 to 1192 matches the Rfam family "Histone 3' UTR stem-loop", at positions 1 to 29 of the family's 46-position model. The record is from RNAcentral. Lineage: Eukaryota; Metazoa; Chordata; Actinopteri; Salmoniformes; Salmonidae.
CAUUUGAGUCAAUUGGAGGAGUACCUGUGGAUGUAUUUCUAGGCCAACCUUCAAACUCAAUGCCUUUUUGCUUGAUAUCAUGGGAAAAUCUAAAUAAAUCAGCCAAGACCUCAGAAGAAAAAUUGUAGCCCUCCACAAGUCUGGUUCAUCCUUGGGAGCAAUUUAAACGCCUUAAGGUAACACGUUCAUCUGUACAAACAAUAGUAUGCAAGUAUAAACAUCAUGGGACCACACAGCCGUCAUACCGCUCAGGAAGGAGACGCGUUCUGUCUCCUAGAGAUGAACGUACCUGGGUGUGAAAAGUGCAAAUCAAACCCAGAACAACAGCAAAGGACCUUGUGAAGAUGCUGGAGGAAACCGGUACAAAAGUAUCUAUAUCCACAGUAAAACGAGUCCUAUAUCGACAUGAAAAGGCCCCUCAACAAGGAAGAAGCUACUGCUCCAAAACCGCCAUAAAAAAGUCAGACUACGGUUUGCAACUGCACAUGGGGACAAAUAUCAUACUUUUUGGAGAAAUGUCCUCUGGUCUGAUGAAACAAAAAUAGAACUGUUUGUUCUCCCCGAGCUGACAAGUAUGUUAAUCGCAGGACCCACUCUGCCAUUGUCCUGGACCCUACUGGGUUCCCCUAAUGCGGAGCGCCAUAUGAGUGAAAAUCUGGUCAAGCACAUCAGAUACUGGUUUGAGCAAUGAAUCCCAUAAAACCAGCACAGAAUCUUUGUUCAGCAAUGUUCCCUGCCAGGUGACAACAAUACCUCACACCAAGCAAAGAGAUGACUACAAUUGUGUCGCUUAUGUGCUUCUGAUGGCCAGAGAGUUAAUGCAGAGGGAGAAGGUACUAAGUGACCCAACUGUCCCAAUGCAUGUUAACAUCAGUGGGGCCAGAAUGGUGGUGGCGAAAGAUCCUGGACAAAGAGGGAGUGCUCCAGUUGGUACCACACCACCUAUGCUGGUGUAUCAACACAGAGCUAAUCCUGCCUUACAAUGGAUGUGCCCACCCUGCCACCAUUGAAGGCCUGCACACCAAGGCUACUAUUGCGUCAGUAUGUUUCAAGGAUGGGGUCCAACAACGCAGCAAGAGGCAAUCCGUGUGUGGGAGAUCUUCACCUACUUCUUCGAAGAGGGUGCUGUUCCCUGGCAACACCAUAGACUACACUAUGCACAACCAAAGGCUCUUUUAAGAGCCAUCCACAC